RNAcentral lists this ribosomal RNA (363 nucleotides) under Amazophrynella bokermanni. Its description in RNAcentral is "partial 16S ribosomal RNA". It matches the Rfam family "Archaeal large subunit ribosomal RNA", at positions 2001 to 2498 of the family's 2987-position model. The record is from RNAcentral. Lineage: Eukaryota; Metazoa; Chordata; Amphibia; Anura; Bufonidae.
UCAACGGCCGCGGUAUCCUAACCGUGCGAAGGUAGCGUAAUCACUUGUUCUCUAAAUCAGGACUAGUAUGAACGGCACUACGAGGGUUACACUGUCUCCUUUUUCUAAUUAGUGAACUUAAUCUUCCCGUGAAGAAGCGGGAAUAAACUUAUAAGACGAGAAGACCCUAUGGAGCUUUAAACAAUCUAGCACUUGCCUACCAUCUUAAUAUUUUCAGAAUCACUAGACUGCAUAAUGACUAGAAGUUUUAGGUUGGGGUGACCGCGGAGUAAAACUCAUCCUCCACAAUGAAAGAACCUUAAUUCUUAACUAAGAUAUACUUAUCUAUGUAUCAGCUUACUGACAUCUAUUGACCCAAUAUAU